Molecule: ribosomal RNA, 522 nt
Filed under: uncultured bacterium
Lineage: Bacteria
Description: partial 16S ribosomal RNA
Rfam family: Bacterial small subunit ribosomal RNA
Source: RNAcentral
UAGGGAAUCUUCCACAAUGGACGCAAGUCUGAUGGAGCAACGCCGCGUGAGUGAAGAAGGCUUUCGGGUCGUAAAACUCUGUUAUUGAAGAAGAACGUGUGUGACAGUAACUGGUCAUGCAGUGACGGUAUUCAAUCAGAAAGUCACGGCUAACUACGUGCCAGCAGCCGCGGUAAUACGUAGGUGGCAAGCGUUGUCCGGAUUUAUUGGGCGUAAAGCGAGUGCAGGCGGUCUUUUAAGUCUGAUGUGAAAGCCUUCGGCUUAACCGAAGAAGGGCAUCGGAAACUGGGAGACUUGAGUGCAGAAGAGGAGAGUGGAACUCCAUGUGUAGCGGUGAAAUGCGUAGAUAUAUGGAAGAACACCAGUGGCGAAGGCGGCUCUCUGGUCUGUAACUGACGCUGAGGCUCGAAAGCGUGGGUAGCAAACAGGAUUAGAUACCCUGGUAGUCCACGCCGUAACGAUGAAUACUAAGUGUUGGAGGGCUUUCCGCCCUUCAGUGCUGCAGCUAACGCAUUAAGUAUU